GUGCUCGCUUUGGUAGCACAUAUAUUAAAAUUGGAACAAUACGGAGAAGAUUAGCAUGGCCCCUGCGCAAUGAUGAUACGCAAAUUCGUGAAGUGUUCCAUAUUUUU
This 107-nucleotide small nuclear RNA is filed under the name Erinaceus europaeus (western European hedgehog). The record is from RNAcentral. Lineage: Eukaryota; Metazoa; Chordata; Mammalia; Eulipotyphla; Erinaceidae.